GGGACAGGGGGGUCUUCGCCGACCGGCGGAGCCUGUCCGCAUGUCGCGUCCGACCCGUCGGACGCGACCGGUGGCUGUCGCUCGGGGGUGAACGCCG
This 97-nucleotide small RNA is filed under the name Streptomyces uncialis. Its description in RNAcentral is "che1 RNA". It matches the Rfam family "che1 RNA". Lineage: Bacteria; Bacillati; Actinomycetota; Actinomycetes; Kitasatosporales; Streptomycetaceae. The record is from Rfam by way of RNAcentral.